ACCUCAAGUCAUGUGAGAGUACCCGCUGAACUUAAGCAUAUCAAUAAGCGGAGGAAAAGAAACUAACAAGGAUUCCCCUAGUAACGGCGAGUGAAGCGGGAAGAGCACAAAUUUAAAAUCUACCUGGUUUUCAGGUCGAGUUGUAAUUUGAGGAUACGUUUUUGACGUUCUGGGUUGGACUAAAUCCUUUGGGAUAAGGUAUCAUAGAGGGUGAGAAUCCCGUAUAUACCAACCGUAGGGAUGUUAUUAAAUACGUUUCUAAGAGUCGAGUUGUUUGGGAAUGCAGCUCUAAAUGGGUGGUAAAUUUCACCUAAUGCUAAAUAUAAGCGAGAGACCGAUAGCGAACAAGUACAGUGAUGGAAAGAUGAAAAGAACUUUGAAAAGAGAGUUAAAUAGUACGUGAAAUUGUUGAAAGGGAAACGAUUGAAGUCAGUCAUGCCGGUGGGAAUCAACUUAGGGGAAACUCUGGGUGCACUUCUUCGCUUGGCAGGUCAACGUCGAUUUUGAAUGUCAUAAAAUAAUUGGGGGAAGGUAGCUCCUUCGGGAGUGUUAUAGCCCUUGAUAGAUGUGAUGUUUGAGGUCGAGGAUUGCAACGGAUACCCUUCGGGGCUAGCUGCCUGAUCUCUAAUUGGUGUUGGGUUACGGAUAGCAUGCUGACCGUGAUCUAAUUACUGGUUAAAAGGUUAGAGUGUGCAUAAAUUCGUUAAGGACGUUGACGUAAUGGCUUUAAACGACCCGUCUUGAAACACGGACCAAGGAGUCUAACAUGUAUGCGAGUGUUAGGGUAUUAAACCCAGACGCGAAAUGAAAGUGAGUGUAGGUGGGAUCCUUUAUUGGAGCACCAUCGACCGAUCUUGAGAUUUAUCGAUAGAAUUGAGUUAGAGC
Molecule: ribosomal RNA, 885 nt
Filed under: Gigaspora margarita
Lineage: Eukaryota; Fungi; Glomeromycota; Glomeromycetes; Diversisporales; Gigasporaceae
Description: eukaryotic LSU rRNA
Rfam family: Eukaryotic large subunit ribosomal RNA
Source: RNAcentral